CUCAACGCCUCUACAAAACAAAUGACAGCAACAAAUGUCGACACAGAAUUAGACGGAAAAUAAGGCAAGAAAAGACCACUUUGCAGACCAUGCUAGCCAAGUACAACAGCCUUGUAACACCCGAGCAAGCAGUUUGCAUGGAUCAUAUUCUGGACACAGAACAUCCCUGGCCUUGGCAAAUAACACAAGAAGGCGCUGUUGAUUUCAGCACAAAAAAGGAAGUCUUUGAUAGGGUCAUGGCAGUUCGAAGGCUUCAAGAGGAGAAGAAGAUCCUUGUCAAAGAGAUCAAGCAGCACUGGGAUUCUCUGAAGUCCCAUGC
Etheostoma spectabile (orangethroat darter) is the source of this 319-nucleotide long non-coding RNA. RefSeq lists it as uncharacterized. The transcript is spliced from 3 exons. The record is from RefSeq and is a predicted model, not a curated record. Lineage: Eukaryota; Metazoa; Chordata; Actinopteri; Perciformes; Percidae.